Molecule: ribosomal RNA, 497 nt
Filed under: uncultured bacterium
Lineage: Bacteria
Description: partial 16S ribosomal RNA
Rfam family: Bacterial small subunit ribosomal RNA
Source: RNAcentral
GACGAACGCUGGCGGCAUGCCUAAUACAUGCAAGUCGAACGCUGAAGCACUCUGCUUGCAGAGUGCGGAUGAGUGGCGAACGGGUGAGUAACACGUGGGAAAUCUGCCUAUAAGAGGGGGAUAACAUUCGGAAACGGAUGCUAAUACCGCAUAUAUUCUUGGACCGCCUGGUCCUUGAAAGAAAGACGGCUUUGCUGUCGCUUAUAGAUGAUCCCGCGGCGUAUUAGUUAGUUGGUGGGGUAAAGGCCUACCAAGACAAUGAUACGUAGCCGACCUGAGAGGGUGAUCGGCCACACUGGGACUGAGACACGGCCCAGACUCCUACGGGAGGCAGCAGUAGGGAAUCUUCCACAAUGGGCGAAAGCCUGAUGGAGCAAUGCCGCGUGAAUGAAGAAGGUCUUCGGAUCGUAAAGUUCUGUUAUUAGAGAAGAACAAGUCAAGGAGUAACUGUCGUGACUUUGACGGUACCUAACCAGAAAGUCACGGCUAACUACGUG